RNAcentral lists this ribosomal RNA (1041 nucleotides) under Anaerococcus sp. enrichment culture clone MRHull-S-06E. Its description in RNAcentral is "bacterial SSU rRNA". It matches the Rfam family "Bacterial small subunit ribosomal RNA", at positions 336 to 1397 of the family's 1533-position model. The record is from RNAcentral. Lineage: Bacteria; Bacillati; Bacillota; Tissierellia; Tissierellales; Peptoniphilaceae.
CUCCUACGGGAGGCAGCAGUGGGGAAUUUUGCACAAUGGGGGAAACCCUGAUGCAGCGACGCCGCGUGAUUUAGAAGGCCUUCGGGUUGUAAAAAUCUUUUGUAUAGGAAGAAAAUGACAGUACUAUACGAAUAAGGUCCGGCUAAUUACGCGCCAGCAGCCGCGGUAAUACGUAAGGACCGAGCGUUGUCCGGAAUCAUUGGGCGUAAAGGGUACGUAGGCGGCUAGAAAAGUUAGAAGUCAAAGGCUAUAGCUCAACUAUAGUAAGCUUCUAAAACUAUUUAGCUUGAGAAAUGGAAGGGAAAGUGGAAUUCCUAGUGUAGCGGUGGAAUGCGCAGAUAUUAGGAAGAAUACCGGUGGCGAAGGCGACUUUCUGGCCAUUAUCUGACGCUGAGGUACGAAAGCGUGGGUAGCAAACAGGAUUAGAUACCCUGGUAGUCCACGCCGUAAACGAUGAGUGUUAGGUGUCUGGAGUCAAAUCUGGGUGCCGCAGCAAACGCAUUAAACACUCCGCCUGGGGAGUACGCACGCAAGUGUGAAACUCAAAGGAAUUGACGGGGACCCGCACAAGCAGCGGAGCAUGUGGUUUAAUUCGACGCAACGCGAAGAACCUUACCAAGUCUUGACAUAUUACAGAAGCGGUUAGAGAUAAUUGCUUACACCUUCAGAUGACUGUAAUACAGGUGGUGCAUGGUUGUCGUCAGCUCGUGUCGUGAGAUGUUGGGUUAAGUCCCAUAACGAGCGCAACCCCUAUUGCUAGUUACCAUCAUUAAGUUGGGGACUCUAGUAAUACUGCCGGUGACAAACCGGAGGAAGGUGGGGAUGACGUCAAAUCAUCAUGCCCUUUAUGACUUGGGCUACACACGUGUUACAAUGGCAGGUACACAGGGUUGCAAGACUGCGAAGUUAAGCGAAACUCAAAAAGCCUGCCCCAGUUCGGAUUGCACUCUGCAACUCGAGUGCAUGAAGUUGGAGUUGCUAGUAAUCGUGGAUCAGAAUGCCGCGGUGAAUGCGUUCCCGGGUCUUGCACACACCGCCCGU